UUUCUCUAGUUGCAUCUAGUUUUCCUCUGCCUGCUUUUUUAUGUUACCUAUUUCCUUUGCAACAAAACAGGAGGUGUCACUAAGAACCACAGCAACAAGAAGUGUUAUCUCUGAGCUUCUUCAGUUUGCUACUUGGAACUGAAGUCAGAGCUGCCCUGAGUGCUACCAAAAAGCCUGGCCAACUGGGGAGAAAGGGAAGGAGCAUUGUUAUGACUUCCAGCUUGUUCCAGAAGUGCUCAGCUGGCAUUUCUGAAAGCAGCCAAGGGAUUUCAGAGAUCCUUAGGGGGGAUGUUCCUGUACGUCAGCUCAUGAAGCACUUUCAGGAGCUUUAUUUUCAGAGGUGGCUGCUAUUCAGAAUGCAAAACUCUUAUGACCUCUCACUCAGGCUACCAGAGACUUUUCUUCCACUGUAUGGGUGCUGACUUCUGCUCCUUUUUGUCUGUUAAUAGACCCUUCAGCUUUAAUGUGAACCUGAAGUGUUCCCUUCCCUACCCAUGGGAGGGGCUGUUCUAUGAAAUAUCCAUCUGAUGUACCUUGCGGUUGAGCAGAUGUUAUCUUAGUCAAGGCAGAAUUUCAUUACCAAGUAAUUGGACAUUCUUCCUGGUUCCUCAUAAUUGUGGCAGGAGAAAAGAACAAAACCUGCUGAUUUGAUAUGAGUAAUUGCUUCAUUAAGUUAUUUGCUUCCUCACCAUAACCGUCAGCCCAAAGAAGAGAGCAGCAUGACUGCCAGACCACAUAUGACUGUACUGUGACACUGGGGCUUUGUGCUAUAUUGUCAGAUGGAAUCACAGGGAAAGGAGUUGGGAAAUACCCUGCUAAGUUAUAUACCUCUCAUCCCCGUGCAUUUCAGACUGCAGAGAAUCUAGCUGUGUCCUAAUGGAGUGAAUCAGUCCCUAGAAACAGCAGAAAGCUAAUGUGUGAGGCUUUAAAUCAGCACACUUGCCUUGCUUCCUGUGUCUGAGCACUGUGAAUUGAUGUUUAGGAGCUGAGCAUCUGUGUCCUCUUACUGUGGAGCAGGCAGAAAGAGAGCUGCAUUAAACCCUGGUGAAAGUGGCUCAGAACUGGAAUAUGGCAAUAUCUGAGCUGUGUUCCCCAGCAGUGGCUCACGUCCCAUCUGUUCUUUGCAUUUAUUCUCCCUAGGCCAAUUGAUGAACACUGUACCCUGUUCCACAGGACAGGUAGAUGGGCUUUGGUCACUUCUUCAGUUACAUGGAUUUAGCUGAAAUGCCAGACGUAGUUUUAACUAAGAGAUUCUCCAUCCGUGUGGACCUGAGCUCCUCUCAGGCACAUCUGGCUGCCCUAUCCUCAUUAUUCAUCACCCCAAACACAC
RNAcentral lists this long non-coding RNA (1330 nucleotides) under Numida meleagris (helmeted guineafowl). Its description in RNAcentral is "lncRNA (ENSNMEG00000015821.1)". The record is from RNAcentral. Lineage: Eukaryota; Metazoa; Chordata; Aves; Galliformes; Numididae.